RNAcentral lists this transfer RNA (84 nucleotides) under Chitinophagaceae bacterium. Its description in RNAcentral is "tRNA-Leu". It matches the Rfam family "tRNA". Rfam says of the family: Transfer RNA (tRNA) molecules are approximately 80 nucleotides in length. Their secondary structure includes four short double-helical elements and three loops (D, anti-codon, and T loops). The record is from RNAcentral. Lineage: Bacteria; Pseudomonadati; Bacteroidota; Chitinophagia; Chitinophagales; Chitinophagaceae. RNAcentral also lists the same sequence under 2 other names.
GCGUGGGUGGCGAAAUUGGUAGACGCACUACUUUGAGGUGGUAGCGCCCGAAAGGGUGUGUGAGUUCGAAUCUCAUCCCGCGCA